RNAcentral lists this ribosomal RNA (432 nucleotides) under uncultured bacterium. Its description in RNAcentral is "partial 16S ribosomal RNA". It matches the Rfam family "Bacterial small subunit ribosomal RNA", at positions 29 to 507 of the family's 1533-position model. The record is from RNAcentral.
ACGAACGCUGGCGGCAUGCCUAACACAUGCAAGUCGAACGAGACCUUCGCGUCUAUUUGCUCACGGGUGCGUAACGCGUGGGAACCUGCCCUUAGGUUCGGAAUAACUCCCCUAAAGUGGUUCUAAUACCGGAUAAUUUCUUCGUACCAAAGAUUUAUCGCCUUUGGAUGGGCCCGCGUUGGAUUAGCUUGUUGGUAGGGUAAAAGCCUACCAAUGCGACGACACAUAGCUGGUCUGAGAGGAUGAUCAGCCACACUGGGACUGAGACACGGCCCAGACUCCUACGGGAGGGAGCAGAGGGGAAUAUUGGAAAAUGGGCGAAAGCAUGAACAAGCAAGGCCGCGUGAGUGAUGAAGGCAUUAGGGUAGUAAAGCUCUAUUACACGGGAUGAUAAUGACAGUACCGGGAGAAUAAGCACCGGCUAACUACGUG